This 71-nucleotide transfer RNA is filed under the name Eigenmannia humboldtii. RNAcentral's name for it is "tRNA-Tyr". It matches the Rfam family "tRNA". Rfam says of the family: Transfer RNA (tRNA) molecules are approximately 80 nucleotides in length. Their secondary structure includes four short double-helical elements and three loops (D, anti-codon, and T loops). Lineage: Eukaryota; Metazoa; Chordata; Actinopteri; Gymnotiformes; Sternopygidae. The record is from RNAcentral.
AGGUAGAAUGGCUGAGAGUUAAGCGGUGGAUUGUAGCUCCAUGCACAGAGGUUCGAGUCCUCUUUCUAUCA